GCAGCCGCCGCGGUAAUACGAAGGGUGCAAGCGUUACUCGGAAUUACUGGGCGUAAAGCGUGCGUAGGUGGUGGUUUAAGUCCGUUGUGAAAGCCCUGGGCUCAACCUGGGAAUCGCAGUGGAUACUGGGUCACUAGAGUGUGGUAGAGGAUAGUGGAAUUUCCGGUGUAGCAGUGAAAUGCGUAGAGAUCGGAAGGAACAUCUGUGGCGAAGGCGACUAUCUGGGCCAACACUGACACUGAGGCACGAAAGCGUGGGGAGCAAACAGGAUUAGAUACCCCUGUAGUUCCUGUCUCUUAUAC
This 302-nucleotide ribosomal RNA is filed under the name uncultured bacterium. RNAcentral describes it as "partial 16S ribosomal RNA". It matches the Rfam family "Bacterial small subunit ribosomal RNA", at positions 508 to 807 of the family's 1533-position model. The record is from RNAcentral.